RNAcentral lists this ribosomal RNA (497 nucleotides) under uncultured bacterium. RNAcentral describes it as "partial 16S ribosomal RNA". It matches the Rfam family "Bacterial small subunit ribosomal RNA", at positions 28 to 507 of the family's 1533-position model. The record is from RNAcentral.
GAUGAACGCUGGCGGCGUGCCUAAUACAUGCAAGUCGAGCGAACGGACGAGAAGCUUGCUUCUCUGAGGUUAGCGGCGGAGGGGUGAGUAACACGUGGAGAACCAACCUAUAAGACUGGGAUAAAUUCGGGAAGCCGGAGCUAAUACCGGAUAAUAUUUUGAACCGCAAGGUUCAAAAGUGAAAGACGGACUUGCUGUCACUUAUAGAUGGAUCCGCGCUGCAUUAGCUAGUUGGUAAGGUAACGGCUUACAAAGGCAACGAUGCAUAGCCGACCUGAGAGGGUGAUCGGCCACCCUGGAACUGAGACACGGUCCAGACUCCUACGGUAGGCAGCAGUCGGGAAUCUUCCGCAAUGGGCGAGAGCCUGACGGUGCAACGCCGCGUGAGUGAUGAAGCUCUUCGGAUCGUAAAACUCUGUUAUUAGGGAAGAACAUAUGUGUAAGUAACUGUGCACAUCUUGACGGUACCUAAUCAGAAAGCCCCGGCUAACUACGUG